GCUCUGUUCUUUGUAAUGCCUAAUUAGUUU
This 30-nucleotide non-coding RNA is filed under the name Mus musculus (house mouse). The record is from RNAcentral. Lineage: Eukaryota; Metazoa; Chordata; Mammalia; Rodentia; Muridae.